AAGCUGCGUGUGGAUCCCGU
RNAcentral lists this non-coding RNA (20 nucleotides) under Mus musculus (house mouse). Lineage: Eukaryota; Metazoa; Chordata; Mammalia; Rodentia; Muridae. The record is from RNAcentral.